Gossypium arboreum is the source of this 107-nucleotide non-coding RNA. Lineage: Eukaryota; Viridiplantae; Streptophyta; Magnoliopsida; Malvales; Malvaceae. The record is from Rfam.
AACACAUGGUGAGGGCACCUUCUCAAUAAGUCGUUAUACCUCUGUCAUGCAUCAUAUAGAGUCUCUGAAUUCAUUUGCAUGAAGGAAGAGAUAUCAUUCCUCAGCUU